AUACGGCUGCACAGAACUCUCAGUUUAGCUUUGCUCUCUUAACAGAGAAAGCGAAUUAAGCAACAACGUUAAUAGCUAUAGACGAUCAAAGGACCCCUACCUGAACUGCUGCAGAGGAAAUGAGUUUGAUGCCUGAGGGUGUGCUCCUCUCGAUGAUAAUGGUACAAAGAUUUGGAUGCUUGCUUCUGUCAUCUUCUAAGCUCAAUAAUUAAUAAGAGAUGCAGUGUUUUUUGUUGUUAUUUACUCUUUUUUUGUCAAUCUUGAGUCAACCAACAUUCAUUAAUUGCUCGA
This is a long non-coding RNA of Halichondria panicea, 291 nucleotides long. RefSeq lists it as uncharacterized. Lineage: Eukaryota; Metazoa; Porifera; Demospongiae; Suberitida; Halichondriidae. The transcript is spliced from 2 exons. The record is from RefSeq and is a predicted model, not a curated record.